This is a long non-coding RNA of Zalophus californianus (California sea lion), 966 nucleotides long. RefSeq lists it as uncharacterized. Lineage: Eukaryota; Metazoa; Chordata; Mammalia; Carnivora; Otariidae. The record is from RefSeq and is a predicted model, not a curated record. The transcript has 4 exons.
CGGUAGACUCUCAUCUAUGCAGUACAAAUCAGGAAGUUAAUUUAGUCUGUAGGGGUCUUGUAGGAAGACCGGACCCUCGAGUCUAUCAUUUCUCAGGGCUCAGGAGGUGAGAGAAGGAACCACAGAGGUCCAAUUCAAGGUCUCAUUUUGCCUAUUGCUUCAUUUCUUUUGAGUCCCCUUUGUGCCCAUGCAAGCACUUGUCUGCUUUUCACAAAUUCUCGGGCAUGUCUCCCUAGCUGAAGUUUUUGAUUUGAGAAUGACCUGAUGGCUCUAUUCACAAAUGAUACGACUUUUCUGGAAGGUUCAAGUACAAGGUUUCAACCAAUCCUUUUCACUUUGAAAUUCCUGCCGUGACAUCACACAUCAGGAGCGAAGACUGACAGCAAGAGACAGACACAAGACUAUGUCUAUAAGGCAUAAAAACCCGGUGACUAAUGCAUCAUUCCUUAGAAACAAGUAUUCUGGUCGGUGAAGACGUCUGUCAGAAGAGUUGCUUCGCAAACUCUAUGAGAAGAAAGCCAUCACAAGUCCCUGCACUCUGACCACAAAUGAAGAAAGGGACAAUAAAAGCUGUUCAGUGUUUUGGUAGAAGGAUCAACUGUAUUUGAAAUCAAAAGGAGCGUCUGAAACAAGGCUUUUUGUUGCUAUUACACUGAGAAGCUACAUGACACAGAAAGCUUGGCAGCCUUCCCACAAUCCUCAGCAUGUGGGAAUAUCAAGGAACAGAGUGUGAGCCCCUGCCAACUGGUGGUUCCGUGUAAAUGUCUCUGUUAACAACCAACACUGCUGCUAGCAGCCAUCCGAGCAAAGCGGCAAAUCUGUUCCUCUCUCCGGUGUGGAAAACACCACCAAAAAAGUCACCUAAUUACUUGAUUAAGAUGUAUCAAUCCCGGAAAUUGUUGAUCUAGAACAUUGAGUCGCUGACAUUGGAUUCAUUCUUGAUUAAACAAAAAAGUUUCAACCUGA